RNAcentral lists this ribosomal RNA (971 nucleotides) under Hastodontia hastata. Its description in RNAcentral is "partial small subunit ribosomal RNA". It matches the Rfam family "Bacterial small subunit ribosomal RNA", at positions 233 to 1040 of the family's 1533-position model. The record is from RNAcentral. Lineage: Eukaryota; Fungi; Basidiomycota; Agaricomycetes; Hymenochaetales; Hymenochaetaceae.
ACAUUCGAUUAGGUAGUUGGAAGGGUAGAAGCCUCCCAAGCCAACGAUCGAUAGUCAAGUUUGACAGAACAGAUGACCACAUUGGGAAUGAAAUAUCCCAAGUAGCGUUACGCUACCAGCAGUCAAGAAUAUUAGUCAAUGCUCGCAAGAGUGAACUAGCUAACUGAAAUCAACGGUGUGUCACCGUUUUGAUAACGUAAGGGAGAAAAAAUGAUGUUACCUUACUAUUAGUGUCGUCCAAGUACUCGUGCCAGAAGACUCGGUAAGGCGAGAGACGCAAACGUUAGUCGUCCUGAUCAGGCGUAAAGGGUUUGUAGGCGGCUUUAAGAAUCUAAUUUUUUUAAAUAACUAUAAUAAUUACUUUAAUGUAAAUUAAUUCUAGCCCUUCGGGGUAAUAUUAAAUGUCUAAUGCCCUUCGGGGUAAAGUUAGAUUUUUUUAAUUUAGGAUAGAUUUAUUUUAUAUAAGUAAUACGGAAAAAGAAGAUCAAUUAAAGCUAGAAUCAAGAAGAGGUUAUAUUAAAUAAUACUUAGAGUAAGAUUGGUAUCUGUAAAUACUAAGCGGAAUACUAACGGCGAAGGCUUUUUUCCAAUAAUGAUUGACGCUGAGAAACUAAGGUGAGGAUAGAAAAAAGGAUUAGAGACCCUCGUAUCCCUCACUGUCAACGAUGAAUGGUAGUUACUAGGAAAUAAUAUUAUAAUAAAUUUAUAAUUAUAGAAUUAAAAUUAAUUCCACUAAAACCUAGAGGCGAUGUUAACACGAAAACCAUUCCGCCUUGUGAGUACGACUGCAAAGUUGAAAACAAAAAAAUUAGUCGGUUUCGGAGCAAACGAAGUGAAGCAUGUUAUUUAAUACGAUACCCCGCGUAAAAUCUUACCAGUCCUUGCAUAAAACUUUUUGAUUACUCUUUACUAUUAGACUACAAUUCUUAUUAUUGUUCUAGCCCAUCCCUUAAGGGAGGGGUAUAAAUAAA